UACGGAGGGUGCAAGCAUUAAUCGGAUUUAUUGGGCGUAAAGGGGGCGUAGGCGGACGAGAAAGUCAGACGUGAAAUCCCAAAGCUUAACUUUGGAACUGCGUUUGAAACUACUUGUCUAGAGGAUAAACGGAGAAAAUGGAAUUCCGCAUGUAGCGGUGAAAUGCGUAGAUAUGCGGAAGAACACCGGUGGCGAAGGCGAUUUUCUAGUUUAUUCCUGACGCUAAGGCCCGAAAGCAAGGGGAGCGAACAGG
This 253-nucleotide unclassified non-coding RNA is filed under the name uncultured Chlamydiales bacterium. Its description in RNAcentral is "contains 16S-23S intergenic spacer region". It matches the Rfam family "Bacterial small subunit ribosomal RNA", at positions 524 to 776 of the family's 1533-position model. Lineage: Bacteria; Pseudomonadati; Chlamydiota; Chlamydiia; Chlamydiales. The record is from RNAcentral.